RNAcentral lists this ribosomal RNA (497 nucleotides) under uncultured bacterium. RNAcentral describes it as "partial 16S ribosomal RNA". It matches the Rfam family "Bacterial small subunit ribosomal RNA", at positions 28 to 507 of the family's 1533-position model. The record is from RNAcentral.
GAUGAACGCUGGCGGCGUGCCUAAUACAUGCAAGUCGAGCGAACGGACGAGAAGCUUGCUUUUCUGAUGUUAGCGGCGGACGGGUGAGUAACACGUGGAUAACCUACCUAUAAGACUGGGAUAACUUCGGGAAACCGGAGCUAAUACCGGAUAAUAUUUUGAACCGCAUGGUUCAAUAGUGAAAGACGGUCUUGCUGUCACUUAUAGAUGGAUCCGCGCUGCAUUAGCUAGUUGGUAAGGUAACGGCUUACCAAGGCAACGAUGCAUAGCCGACCUGAGAGAGUGAUCGGCCACACUGGAACUGAGACGCGGUCCAGGCGCCUACGGGAGGCAGCAGUAGGGAAUCUUCCGCAAUGGGCGAAAGCCUGACGGAGCGACGCGGCGUGAGUGAUGAAGGUCUUCGGAUCGUAAAACUCUGUUAUUAGGGAAGAACAUAUGUGUAAGUAACUGUGCACAUCUUGACGGUACCUAAUCAGAAAGCCACGGCUAACUACGUG